UGAUCCUGCCAGUAGUCAUAUGCUUGUCUUAAAGAUUAAGCCAUGCAUGCCUCAGUAUAAGUGUUUUACUGCGAAACUGCGAAUGGCUCAUUAAAACAGUUAUAGUUUCUUUGACGAUCACUUGAUAUUUGGAUACCUAUGGUAAUUCUAGAGCUAAUACAUGCUUUUGAACCCGACUUCGCGGUAGGGUUGUGCUUAUUAGAUACCGAACCAACCCAGGUCUCCUGGUCUUUUAGUUGAUUCAUAAUAAGUCAGCGAAUCGCCCGCUUCAGACGAUGAGUCUUUCAAGUUUCUGACCUAUCAGCUUCCGACGGUAGGAUAUGGGCCUACCGUGGCUUUGACGGGUAACGGAGAAUUGGGGUUCUGUUCCGGAGAGGGAGCCUGAGAAACGGCUACCACAUCUAAGGAAGGCAGCAGGCGCGUAAAUUACCCAAUCCUGACACAGGGAGGUAGUGACAAGAAAUACCAAUAUAAGGCUUACAUGUCUUGUAAUUGGGAUGAGUAUAAUUUAAAUCGCGUAGCGUAGUAUCGAUUGGAGGGCAAGUCU
This 547-nucleotide ribosomal RNA is filed under the name uncultured eukaryote. Its description in RNAcentral is "bacterial SSU rRNA". It matches the Rfam family "Eukaryotic small subunit ribosomal RNA", at positions 9 to 562 of the family's 1831-position model. The record is from RNAcentral.